Molecule: ribosomal RNA, 253 nt
Filed under: uncultured bacterium
Lineage: Bacteria
Description: partial 16S ribosomal RNA
Rfam family: Bacterial small subunit ribosomal RNA
Source: RNAcentral
UACGUAGGGUGCGAGCGUUGUCCGGAAUUACUGGGCGUAAAGAGCUCGUAGGUGGUUUGUCGCGUUGUUCGUGAAAACCGGGGGCUUAACCCUCGGCGUGCGGGCGAUACGGGCAGACUGGAGUACUGCAGGGGAGACUGGAAUUUACGGUGUAGCAGUGAAAUGCGUAGAGAUCGUAAGGAAGACCAGUGGCGAAGGCGAGUCUCUGGACAGUUACUGACACUGAGGCACGAAGGCCAGGGGAGCAAACGGG